CCCCGCGGCUGUUACAGGAGAGUUUACACCUAAACCGAGCAGAGAGAUCGGCUGCCAGACGGAACCAGUCAGCACAAAACAUGCUGCUGGACAGGUUAACGUGACUCCGAGCAGGAGGAGCAAAGCGACUCAGGCCCAAACUACUGACACGAGUAUGUCAUCUGACACAAUCACUGUCGUGGCGGGCUCUUGACGAACGAUAAUACACAUCCCUCCACUGAAUCCCCUCGUACAGCAACUGAUUACCUCGUUAAGAUGUGUCCCGUUUGCAGCCGGAGCUGUACCAUUUUUAAAACGGUUAUUGGGACGCUCCUCCAGGUGAUGCAGAGCUGUCCUCACUGCGAGUUCCUUCAGCAGUGGUCCAGUCAGCCGAUGGCAGACAACACGGCGACCUGAGAGUCUGUCUCUAUCUCACACCGACAACCAACGACAGUCAGCUCUUGGGACAGAUCACGUUCGGAGGUCGACGUCCCUGUGAUGUCUUCAUCAGCUUGAGAGUAAAGGACAGAAACAGGAGCUCGGUACCGGGUCAGAUGUGAGCAGUCGUCCCUCAUGGAGACGUGUGUGACUGUAUCAAGG
Dicentrarchus labrax (European seabass) is the source of this 579-nucleotide long non-coding RNA. RefSeq lists it as uncharacterized. Lineage: Eukaryota; Metazoa; Chordata; Actinopteri; Moronidae. The transcript is spliced from 5 exons. The record is from RefSeq and is a predicted model, not a curated record.